CAGAGGUGGAGAUGGAGGUCGACACAACCCACCAAACAAACCACCGGCACACAGAAAUGUGUAUAAACUUAACAUAGGCUAAGAACUCUCUGAAUUAACACACUUUGCAUGAGGAAGAUGUCAAUCAAUCAGUGUAACCCCGCCUACACAAUCAGCCAGAUCACCUGAGAUAGCUGUGUGGCUGUUGAGACUUUAGGUUAGCAGUUUCCUCCAGAGCUCUUGGACAGCAGACUGCUAAACCAAACUGUGUCAGAAUCCUGUUCCUCUGUUGGGCAGUUCUGUUUUUCAUAGAGGCUGGUGCUGACAAUGGAAAACUGCAAGUGGCUAAUGCAUCGCAUCACACAAAAGCUUCAUCCUGACGGUCUGUUCCCUCCGACCUCUGGUACCAUCUACAUCCUGGGCAGAGACAUCUGGACGCACUUGAGCGCCAUCAGAGUCUGGGAGUCUGUCCUCAACACAACAUCCUCUUCAGCAUAUUCUUCAUCAUAGCACUCCUCCUCCAGUUCAUCUGAAGUGUCCUCUUCCGAUGCCUCACUGUCCUGCAGAGGUACUUCUACUGCCACAGCCACACUGCCACCGAUGAAAGCUGGACUGUACACCAAAAGUGCUGUGGUGAUGUUUUGGUCCAGCUCACGGAUGUGUCUUCUUACUUUAUUUUGAAGAUCCGGUUCACCUGAAAAGAAAACAUCUGACUAUCAGAGAUGCAUCAUAAGUAGAACACCUUUAUGACAUUAUCAAUUUAAAUCAUGGGAAUUACUGGUCAUGAACAUUUACUUACAGUUGUCCUGGAGCAGUAAUCUUAACCCGUCAAGCUGUCCCUCAAGAGAGUUAAGGUGCCGGUGCAUCUCCUCCACAACAAUGUUGAUUUCCUCAUGAAAUCGCAAAGUUAACAUGAUGUAGUAACAGAAGGGUACUCAACCUCCCAACAGAGUUUAUGAACCAAAAUACACUUUAAACAUUACAAAAUAAUUACAAUAUGUACACUCAUCUACUUUUUUCAAUUUCUACAUAUGGUUAAAUCCAAAUGUUGUGUGCAUACUAGACUCUCCCAGGGCCAGAUGAAAUUCUCCCUAACAAGCAUCUCAUCAAGAGAUGGCAGUUGGGUCUUGUAGGCUGUGUCCAGCUGGUCAAUUGCAGACUCCAAUUUCUUUUUUUCUUCUGCAACUUUCCGACGGAUGGUGUGCCUUUUUAUUGGAGUCUAAGUGAAAAACAUGAUUAUAUGCAGUGAUAUUUUGAUGGUUCAUUGUUGUAUUACUGCCACAGAUUAUCAACUCUUUCUAAACAUGACUGAAAAGUCAUUUUCAAGCAUCUAUGAAAUCAAGGUUUUAAAAGUCACACCAGUCUCUCUGUACAGCAUGUGUUUCGGCUGGCGGAUGCUGAGGUACAGAUGCUCAAUUCGGCACUCCAGUGAGCGCUCAUCUACGACAGUGGAGGCGGUGAUGAAAUUGUCAUUAUUUGAGGUAACAAAAAAAGCCAUAAAAUGCCAAAAUACAUGGAGUGGAUUUUGAAAUGCAUGUUUAUGAAGGUUAAAUAUUACCACAUGGCCAGCCUUGGACAUCAGAAAUCCAUUUUUGUAGCGGAGUGUCAUCCACACUCAGCUCUGUACAGAGGGCAUGCAGCUUUUUAAUUUCUUCAUCCAGCCUUUUCUGCGCCAAAAAAAAAAAAAAAAAAUAGAUCCACAAAACAGCACUCAUACUUAUUUUCCAGGUGCCUUAUACAGUAUAUUAAGUACAUUAAUUUAUGGCUUUUCAGGUAUUUUAGAAAUAAAUGAUUUUUAAGACAUACCUUGGUGUACCUCUGUGCCAAUGUCUUGUGGAGGUUUGCCAUCUUUCGAUGGUUCCACAAAACUGCCCACAGGGUAAUUGGCCUGUAAACCAAAACGCACAGUUUCAUUCUUCUAAUCAUUAUUAUUAUUACGGUAUUGCUUUUAUAUGUGUUGUUGUUAUUACCUCCUUUUGACAUGUACUUUGUUGACAUGGCAGCCCUGGACAAAAAACUAUUCACUUAAGUAGUAAACAAUCAGUAUGUAAUGUCAAUACUAUCACAGAAAACAUAGUUUUUUAAAAAUUGAACACAUUUACCACACCUGCUCUACCUCCUCCCCAAUGGUGUUCCCUGCCCCUUCUUGGUUGCGGCCUCCACAUUUCAGCUACAAUUCACAAACACAGUUUCAAGACAAGCACACAUGGAUGAAGAAUUUAAUGCACAAAAUUUGACGCUAACCUUGCAUGUCCAUGAAUGGGCUUUGGCGUGCAUGACUGAAAGGAGGGGUCGCACUGCCUGCAGUGGCUGUGACAUGAAAAACCUAGACAUGUCAGAGAUGCAUUACAGUCAUAAUAUAAUGUGCUUGUUGUAAUUGAAUCAUGUAAAUCAACAGUUUAUAUUACAAAUAUUUCACCUC
Molecule: long non-coding RNA, 2401 nt
Organism: Perca fluviatilis (European perch)
Lineage: Eukaryota; Metazoa; Chordata; Actinopteri; Perciformes; Percidae
Exons: 5
Source: RefSeq, a predicted model, not a curated record